UUCUACAUAGCUCCACCUCCAUUAAUGGCUGUCGACGCCCUGGCUCCCUUUCGUGCUCUAUAAAUCUCGCCGCCGUCUAGCGCGCCCUGCUCCUUAUGCCGUCACCGCUUCACCUCCCGGCGUUAUGGAGCACUCACCACCGCUCGUCCGAUUCAUCUCCCCAACCCAGUCGUACUCUCCACCACUGCCGCCACCACUCCUCUUCUCUGCGAUGACAGUUUCUCCUUGCCAUUAAUGGCAUUUCGUGAGGACGUUUCUCUACGACAAUCAAAUUCGAGGCCAUGAUUUCCUUCUACCAGCCUAUAAAUGGUGCUGAGCUUCAUCCCUUUUCUCCCUGCUCGACACUUGCUCCAGCUGCUAAGUCACUCGCCUCGCUUCUCUCCCUUCGUGCUCUGAGUUCCUUAUUGUCGUGCCGUGCGCUGCAGGCUGCCAUCCGAGUUCUCUGCUCGUUCAUCGAUUGCCACUCCUACUCGGCGUCAUUGUUGUGGCGUGCUGCUGUGCUCCUUCACCGUCGACGCCCUGCUGUCUGUGAAUUUUCCUCGUCGGAGCACUAUCGGUGAAGCCACGACAUCAUCGUUGUUCUUCAUCGCCAUGCCCAAGCUCACCCAGCGACCUCAUCGUCAUCCGUUCCCUAUUCGUCCACACACCGUCAUCUUCUGUGCCCCGGUGCCACCGGAAUUUCGCUUGCUAGACAUCACCGGAGUUCCCCACUCUGCUCAUCGUCGAUCCACACGUACUGUUCGUCGCCAACGACCACGCCGAAUUCAUCGACCCCGCCAUUAUCGUCCCCUGCUCCUCCUACGUUAACCCCUCCCUGCACGUGAUAGGUAGAUGAAGGUCCUUUUUAUGUGCUAACCCCUAUCAUCUACUAUUAAUCGUGUUUUAGCCCUGUGAUAGUUUUUCUAUUUUAAAAAUGUUUAUUGCUUAAUUAAAAUCCAAAUAAAUUGAAUGUUGAGCUUCAUAAGUUUGUGCUAAACACUUUAAAUUAGUGUUGCAACAAUUUACAUGUUUCAUUAAUUUAAUUUGAAACAUGAUCGUUAUGUUUGAUUCAUAUGUAGUUGUCAAAUUAAGAUAUUAAAAAGAAUUAUAUCCUUUAUGUUUUAAUAAAAAAGAGACAUUUGCUUAUAAUAAUAUCUGCGCACAAAAAUACAAAUUUAUUGGCUACCCCUCCAGUCUACCAUUAUUUAUGUGUAGAUCCCUGUUAGAACUAAUUAUAAAAUAAAUAUAUAUUAGGAAUCUAAAUAAAUUAGGAAUGAUUUUGUUAGUUUCACAAUUAUGUGAUAAACAUUUUAAUUAGUGUUUUCAAUUUGAAUUAUGGUUGUUAUACAAGAAAUAUUAAAAUGGCCUUUUCAAUGAAUAUCAUGUUUUCAUAAUUUAACAAUGUUCAUUAUAGAUGUUUAAUUAUAGCUUUCUUAAAUAGAAAUUUAAAAUAAAAAUAUAGACCAUGUCAUAAUAAGAUAACUACAUAUCUUUCGCCACAAAUGUUGAUUUAGAUUUAUACACAAGUUUUCUUAAAUAAGAUGCGUUAUAUGUUUGUCAAAAUAAGGUAUGCCAUAUAGCUUUUUCUAAAAUAAGUGUUAACAUGGAUUAAUUAGUGUUCUUGCUUUUAUAAAUUAAAAUGAUAGUUUAUAUAAUGUCCAAUUCAGUUUCCGUAUUAAUGAAUUAGAUCAUUUGUUCCUAUAUUAAAAUGACUUAAUUAGUUUUCUAGGCAUGAUUAAUCGUCCAUCAAAUUGAGUCCAUAUUAUUUACGUAUAUCAUUUAGUUUUUCCUAAAGGAUGAAAUAAAUAAAUUAGUGUUCAUAUUCUUUUUCUAAUUAAAAUGUUAGUUUACAUAUUGACCUUGAAUAUAUCUUUCUUAAUAAUAAUACAUGGCAUGUCUUUUCUUAAUAAAAAUAAAGAUAAUUAUUUGUUUCAUUAUCUUUCCACAUAAAACAUGUUUAGGCUUAUAUAUUAACUUCUCACCAAUUAAUGUUUAAUAAUGUGUUUCAUAAUCUUUUAUCCCAUAGCCUUAGUUAUUCAAUAUAACUUUUCUAAAAAAAUUAAAAAGGUUCACCAAACAUUCAUAAAAUUAUAGUUAAGAUAUUGUCAAGCUUAGGUCUUGUUUUAUAAAAUGGACCAAACCUUUUGCAAACGAACGCCUUUUUGUUAUAACCAUUGCUUGUGAUGUUUUUGAAAAGCAAAUGCUCUUUUCGUUAUGCUUUGUUUUAGCUUUGUCUAUGGUGAAUGAUGUAUGUUAUUGAGUGGUGUGUUUCUUGUUUGCUUGUGUGAUAUUCAGUGAUUGAUCUAGUAGUUGAGAAUCAAGAUCUAUUCCAUGGAAGGAUCUCAAGUUUUCUAUUAGCAAGGCAAGUGGACUUCUCCCUCUUCAUACUCUGUUUGAUCCCAAACAAUACAUUUAUUUACUCUUGGAUAUAUGCAUAAUUUGAUGGGUUACCUAUUCAAAUACACAUAACCUUUCCAACCUUAUUCCUUGAUCAAACCUGGGUAUUGUACUUUACCUUAGUAGCUAUGCUAUUGCUACAACUUUAACUUUAUGCAGUCACUCAUCUUUAUGAUAUUAAUGUUUCAAAUAGUAAGUUUACAUUAUUUUUGUUAAUCCGAUGAUUAAGCAAGAUCAUAUGAUUUAAUAGGAACAUGGAGUGACCACCUAGGAAAACAGUGCUACCAUGAGGGUGGUAUGGGACGCCCUUAGCUAAAUAACUAGGGAAGUCUUGGGUGUUGGUCGUGGUCGACCGGAACAGGGGUAUCUGUCAAGCGCUUAUAUUUUUGGCUCAGGCAGAUUGGAUACGGGCAUAGUUCCCAAGCUUUACCCUGCGGACUGGACUAUAAGUUGGGUUACGUCAGAUGUGCUCUAUGAAGUUUGACCAUUUCCAACAUCUGCAUAGUGAGGACUCUUGGGAAAAGCCUCGUAGUGAGACCCUAGCCAGUUACCUCGAAAGUGAAUACAGGACUUGCAAACCCGGGCUAGAAGGGAAUCAUGACUCAUGGGUAAAGAUGCGCCACCUCUGUAGAGUGUAAAACUGAUAUAUCAGCCGUGCUCACGGUUAUGAGCAGCAUAGACCCUCACAUGAUAAUUGAACUUGAAGAUGAAAAAUAAAUCGUGACCAGUUUUGUUUAAGCGGUAUGCUUAAGUGGUUUUGCUCAAGUGGUUGAGCUUCAUGUUGAUGAUAUUUCGGUUCAAGUGGUUCUGAGAUUUAUGUUGAUGAUAUAUAUGCUGAUGAAUAUUGCUUAUGCUUAAUAUGGGUUUGGUAUAUACUUAUACCUAGUAAUCAGGUGUUGAUAAUAAAAUGUUGACCAACUAAAAUGCUAACCACAUUAAACUUUAGCGUUACCUUGUUACCUUGCAUUUUCACCCCACUUGCUGAGCCCCGACCAUAAGUGAACUCACCCUUGAUUAAUUUUGAUCAGAAGUUUGCAGAUGAAGAUAUGAUGGUGAACUUGAUGAAUGCUAGUCUAGUGAUACCCCCGGUCAUCUUCCUGUGGAAGGAUGUCCAUGUUUCGCUAUACUUUGAUGAAUAAAGGUUAA
Molecule: long non-coding RNA, 3522 nt
Filed under: Zea mays
Lineage: Eukaryota; Viridiplantae; Streptophyta; Magnoliopsida; Poales; Poaceae
Description: long non-coding RNA (ZMAY_LNC004793)
Source: RNAcentral